CCUACGGGAAGCAGCAGUGAGGAAUAUUGGACAAUGGGCGCAAGCCUGAUCCAGCCAUGCCGCGUGCAGGAUGAAGCAUCUAUGGUGUGUAAACUGCUUUUAUACAGGAAGAAACCUCCCGACGUGUCGGGAAUUGACGGUACUGUAAGAAUAAGGAUCGGCUAACUCCGUGCCAGCAGCCGCGGUAAUACGGAGGAUCCAAGCGUUAUCCGGAAUCAUUGGGUUUAAAGGGUCCGUAGGCGGGCCAGUAAGUCAGUGGUGAAAUCUCUCCGCUCAACGGGGAAAUGGCCAUUGAUACUGCUGGUCUUGAAUUAUUAGGAAGUAACUAGAAUAUGUAGUGUAGCGGUGAAAUGCUUAGAGAUUACAUGGAAUACCAAUUGCGAAGGCAGGUUACUACUAAUGGAUUGACGCUGAUGGACGAAAGCGUGGGUAGCGAACAGGAUUAGAUACCCUGGUAGUCCACGCCGUAAACGAUGGAUACUAGCUGUUGGGGGCAACUUCAGUGGCUAAGCGAAAGUGAUAAGUAUCCCACCUGGGGAGUACGUUCGCAAGAAUGAAACUUAAAGGAAUUGACGG
Molecule: ribosomal RNA, 576 nt
Filed under: uncultured bacterium
Lineage: Bacteria
Description: bacterial SSU rRNA
Rfam family: Bacterial small subunit ribosomal RNA
Source: RNAcentral